RNAcentral lists this unclassified non-coding RNA (250 nucleotides) under Phomopsis sp. RNAcentral describes it as "partial contains 5.8S ribosomal RNA, internal transcribed spacer 2, and large subunit ribosomal RNA". Lineage: Eukaryota; Fungi; Ascomycota; Sordariomycetes; Diaporthales; Diaporthaceae. The record is from RNAcentral.
CGCACAUUGCGCCCUCUGGUAUUCCGGAGGGCAUGCCUGUUCGAGCGUCAUUUCAACCCUCAAGCCUGGCUUGGUGAUGGGGCACUACUCCCUCGCGGGAGUAGGCCCUGAAAUUCAGUGGCGAGCUCGCCAGGACCCCGAGCGUAGUAGUUACAUCUCGCUCUGGAAGGCCCUGGCGGUGCCCUGCCGUUAAACCCCCAACUUCUGAAAAUUUGACCUCGGAUCAGGUAGGAAUACCCGCUGAACUUAA